GACGAACGCUGGCGGCGCGCUUAACACAUGCAAGUCGAGCGAAGCGGCGGAGGGGUGAGUAACACGUGAGUAACCUGCCUAAGACAUUGGGAUAGCCCCGGGAACGCGGGAUUAAUACCAAAUGGUCUAAGAUGGACUCGCGUCCCAUUAGCGAGUUGGUGAGGUAACGGCCCAACAAGGCGACGAAGGGUAGCCGGCCUGAGAGGGGGAACGGCUACAUUGGAACUGAGGAACGGACCAAACUCUACGGGAGGCAGCAGUGGGGAAUAUUGCACAAUGGAGGGAACUCUGAGGCAGCGACGCCGCGGGAACGAAGAAGGCUUUCGAGUCGUACAGUUCUUUGAUAUGGGAAGCGGUACCAUAAGAAAAAGCCCCGGCUAACUACGUGCCAGCAGCCGCGGUAAUAC
Molecule: ribosomal RNA, 407 nt
Filed under: uncultured bacterium
Lineage: Bacteria
Description: partial 16S ribosomal RNA
Rfam family: Bacterial small subunit ribosomal RNA
Source: RNAcentral